This 427-nucleotide ribosomal RNA is filed under the name uncultured bacterium. RNAcentral describes it as "partial 16S ribosomal RNA". It matches the Rfam family "Bacterial small subunit ribosomal RNA", at positions 355 to 774 of the family's 1533-position model. The record is from RNAcentral.
UGGGGAAUAUUGCACAAUGGGCGCAAGCCUGAUGCAGCCAUGCCGCGUGUAUGAAGAAGGCCUUCGGGUUGUAAAGUACUUUCAGAGGGGAGGAAGGCGAUGUGGUUAAUAACCGCGUCGAUUGACGUUACCCGCAGAAGAAGCACCGGCUAACUCCGUGCCAGCAGCCGCGGUAAUACGGAGGGUGCAAGCGUUAAUCGGGAUUACUGGGCGUAAAGCGCACGCAGGCGGUCUGUCAAGUCGGAUGUGAAAUCCCCGGGCUCAACCUGGGAACUGCAUCCGAAACUGGCAGGCUUGAGUCUCGUAGAGGGGGGUAGAAUUCCAGGUGUAGCGGUGAAAUGCGUAGAGAUCUGGAGGAAUACCGGUGGCGAAGGCGGCCCCCUGGACGAAGACUGACGCUCAGGUGCGAAAGCGUGGGGAGCAAACA